AUUGAACGCUGGCGGCAGGCUUAACACAUGCAAGUCGAGCGGGGUGAUGGUGCUUGCACUAUCACUUAGCGGCGGACGGGUGAGUAAUGCUUAGGAAUCUGCCUAUUAGUGGGGGACAACAUCUCGAAAGGGAUGCUAAUACCGCAUACGUCCUACGGGAGAAAGCAGGGGAUCACUUGUGACCUUGCGCUAAUAGAUGACCCUAAGUCGGAUUAGCUAGUUGGUGGGGUAAAGGCCUACCAAGGCGACGAUCUGUAGCGGGUCUGAGAGGAUGAUCCGCCACACUGGGACUGAGACACGGCCCAGACGCCUACGGGAGGCAGCAGUGGGGAAUAUUGGACAAUGGGGGGAACCCUGAUCCAGCCAUGCCGCGUGUGUGAAGAAGGCCUUAUGGUUGUAAAGCACUUUAAGCGAGGAGGAGGCUCUUUUGGUUAAUACCCAAGAUGAGUGGACGUUACUCACAGAAUAAGCACCGGCUAACUCUGUGCCAGCCGCCGCGGUAA
This 503-nucleotide ribosomal RNA is filed under the name uncultured bacterium. RNAcentral's name for it is "partial 16S ribosomal RNA". It matches the Rfam family "Bacterial small subunit ribosomal RNA", at positions 30 to 523 of the family's 1533-position model. The record is from RNAcentral.